AAAGGCAGAGUUGAACAAGGGCAAGGCAGGUUGCAGAAAUUAGAGUUUAAUGGGCUGAAACAUAAGAGUGUGGGAGCAGUAUGUGAGUGGGGAGACGGGAGCGCCCAUAAUGCUGCUGAAGAGGUGGCCUGGCACCACGUGGUAUUUAACGGACUGCCUGCAUUAUGCCAGGUACCACAGAAGGAGCAGUAAGAGUAAGAUCUCAACCAUUAGGGAGCAGAUACCAGCUUCCCUGCUGACUCAGACGACUCCGCCCAUGGGCCUCAAAUGGCGGAAGAACUGCACGCUACGUCGUGACUUCUCACACUACUGCGGAGGUAUCCCGACGCUACGCCGCCGGCGUAGGCGGGGCGGCCGGCUCUUCCUUCCUCUCUGCUUCUUCGGCUCCACCCCCAGCGUUUCACACGCUCAUUGUGAAGCGACAGCGGCAGGCAGUCUUCAAGGCUGCCUGAGACCUAGAGACCCUAAGUCCUUGGCGCACGCAAGCGCCCCGCGCUGCUCUUUCCCCACUCCAAAGGCGAGGGGCGCGAGAUUCACCUUUCUUUAUUCUUUCUUCUCCCGCCCGCAGCUAACCGCCCCGGUGCGCGCGGACAUCUCGGGCCGCGGCUCCCUCCUCCCCGCCCCUCCCC
Long non-coding RNA from Bos taurus (domestic cattle), 629 nucleotides. Lineage: Eukaryota; Metazoa; Chordata; Mammalia; Artiodactyla; Bovidae. The record is from Ensembl.